CCUACGGGAGGCUGCAGUGAGGAAUAUUGGUCAAUGGGCGCGAGCCUGAACCAGCCAAGUAGCGUGAAGGAUGACUGCCCUACGGGUUGUAAACUUCUUUUGUAAAGGAGUAAAGUGAGGUACGCGUGCCUCUUUGAAAGUACCUUACGAAUAAGGAUCGGCUAACUCCGUGCCAGCAGCCGCGGUAAUACGGAGGAUCCGAGCGUUAUCCGGAUUUAUUGGGUUUAAAGGGGGCGUAGACGGGUUGUUAAGUCAGUUGUGAAAAUUUGCGGCUCAACCGUAGAAUUGCAUUUGAUACUGGGAGUCUUGAGUGCAGUUGAGGUAGGCGGAAUGCGUGGUGUAGCGGUGAAAUGCAUAGAUAUCACGAAGAACUCCGAUUGCGAAGGCAGCUUACUAAGCUGCCACUGACGUUGAUGCACGAAAGUGUGGGUAUCAAACAGGAUUAGAUACCCCUGUAGUC
This 460-nucleotide ribosomal RNA is filed under the name uncultured bacterium. RNAcentral describes it as "partial 16S ribosomal RNA". It matches the Rfam family "Bacterial small subunit ribosomal RNA", at positions 338 to 795 of the family's 1533-position model. The record is from RNAcentral.